This 586-nucleotide ribosomal RNA is filed under the name uncultured bacterium. Its description in RNAcentral is "partial 16S ribosomal RNA". It matches the Rfam family "Bacterial small subunit ribosomal RNA", at positions 355 to 1375 of the family's 1533-position model. The record is from RNAcentral.
UGGGGAAUUUUGGACAAUGGGCGAAAGCCUGAUCCAGCAAUGCCGCGUGUGUGAAGAAGGCCUUCGGGUUGUAAAGCACUUUUGUCCGGAAAGAAAUCCUCUGGGUUAAUACCUCGGGGGGAUGACGGUACCGGAAGAAUAAGCACCGGCUAACUACGUGCAGCAGCCGCGGUAUGAACGUAGGGGUGCAAGCGUUAAUCGGAAUUACUGGGCGUAAAGCGUGCGCAGGCGGUUUUGUAAGACGGAUGUGAAAUCCCCGGGCUUAACCUGGGAACUGCAUUCGUGACUGCAAGGCUAGAGUAUGGCAGAGGGGGGUAGAACUCCACGUGUAGCAGUGAAAUGCGUAGAGAUGUGGAGGAAUACCGAUGGCGAAGGCAGCCCCCUGGGCCAAUACUGACGCUCAUGCACGAAAGCGUGGGGAGCAAACAGGAUUAGAUACCCUGGUAGUCCACGCCCUAAACGAUGUCAACUAGUUGUUGGGGAUUCAUUUCCUUAGUAACGUAGCUAACGCGUGAAGUUGACCGCCUGGGGAGUACGGUCGCAAGAUUAAAACUCAAAUGAAUUGACGGGGUCAUAGCUGUUUCCU